AGGACGAACGCUGGCGGCGUGCCUAACACAUGCAAGUUGAGCGACGAACCGGGGCUUGCCCCGGGGCAAAGCAGCGAACGGGUGAGUAACACGUGGAUAACGUACCCCGAUAACCGGGACAACCCGAGGAAACUCGAGCUAAUACCGGAUGUGCCCACCACACAUCAGUGUGGUGUGUAAAGGAAGCUUCGGCCUCCGUAUUGGGAGCGGUCCGCGGCCCAUUAGCUAGUUGGUGAGGUAACGGCUCACCAAGGCAACGAUGGGUAGCUGGUCUGAGAGGACGAUCAGCCACACUGGGACUGAGACACGGCCCAGACUCCUACGGGAGGCAGCAGUAGGGAAUUUUCCACAAUGGGCGAAAGCCUGAUGGAGCAACGCCGCGUGCAGGAUGAAUGUCUUCGGGUUGUAAAGCUCUUUUACCCGGGAUGAUAAUGACAGUACCGGAGAAUAAGCCCGGCUAACUCCGUGCCAGCAGCCGC
Molecule: ribosomal RNA, 479 nt
Filed under: uncultured bacterium
Lineage: Bacteria
Description: SSU rRNA
Rfam family: Bacterial small subunit ribosomal RNA
Source: RNAcentral